GAUGAACGCUGGCGGCGUGCCUAAUACAUGCAAGUCGAGCGAACGGACGAGAAGCUUGCUUCUCUGAUGUUAGCGGCGGACGGGUGAGUAACACGUGGAUAACCUACCUAUAAGACUGGGAUAACUUCGGGAAACCGGCGCUAAUACCGGAUGAUAUUUUGAACCGCAUGGUUCAAAAGUGAAAGACGGUCUUGCUGUCACUUAUAGAUGGAUCCGCGCUGCAUUAGCUAGUUGGUAAGGUAACGGCUUACCAAGGCCACGAUGCAUAGCCGACCUGAGAGGGUGAUCGGCCACACUGGAACUGAGACACGGUCCAGACUCCUACGGGAGGCAGCAGUAGGGAAGCUUCCGCAAUGGGCGAAAGCCUGACGGAGCAACGCCGCGUGAGUGAUGAAGGUCUUCGGAUCGUAAAACUCUGUUAUUAGGGAAGAACAUAUGUGUAAGUAACUGUGCACAUCUUGACGGUACCUAAUCAGAAAGCCACGGCUAACUACGUG
This 497-nucleotide ribosomal RNA is filed under the name uncultured bacterium. RNAcentral describes it as "partial 16S ribosomal RNA". It matches the Rfam family "Bacterial small subunit ribosomal RNA", at positions 28 to 507 of the family's 1533-position model. The record is from RNAcentral.